GGCACAGAGAGCUGCAGCAGAGGCAGUGGAACUGAGCUGUCUGUACAGCUGAGAAAGGCUCCUGAGCAUGUCUCCUGUUUUAUUAUGAUUCAAGCAUACAGGUACUGGAAACACUAUCUAAAAAAUUCAACAAUAUUUAACUUCAGUGGAGGACUGAUCUAAAGACUAGUGCUUCUGGAAGAAACCUGCAGAUAAAAAUGUCAACAACUUAACUAACUAUUCUCCAUUUUGGUGUCUUUGCAGCAUACUCAUUGAAGGGCAUCCAACCACCUGCCUUCUGCAGGAAGAAAGUCAAAGGAACUGGGUUCAGAGGAUGCUGGGGAAGGGAAAAAGUGAGAGCACAGCAGUGAAAACCAGCUGAGUACUCCUUAAUCCUGUUUUAGCUGGCACAAAAGCAAGAAAGAGGACAUUACUCAAGACACCUCUGCCUCUCAGCUCUUAUUCUCUUCUGCAAACCAGCUAUUAAAGAAAUGAGUGAAAAAGAUUGUGAAGAACUCAUAAGGGAGAAAACAAUUUUUUGAGAAGUAAAUUUAAAACAGAGGAGAGCUAAGGGAACUUCAAGGAGGGAAGAAGGGGAACAAACAUAUGUUUAUGGAGAUACCAGGAGAUUUAAAGGUUGAUGAAGUACUUAUGUAUAAAUCUGAAGGGGACAUAGAGAAUAGCAUAAUAAAAUGUGACAAUAUUACUGGAGAAGGUACUAGGAAAAGAUGGAAAAAGGAACAGGGCUUAGGAAUUCUAUAAAGAAGCUAUAAAUAAUAAUGUGAGAAUCAUCUCAAAUUUUAGAUAUCUAAAGAUAAAAAUCUGAGUGCAAGCUUGUCAGUUUUUACUGUAGGGAAAAAAAUCAGUACACAGGCACUAUGAAUGAUGGGUGUAAAAUUUACCUUAGAUACCUAAGGAACCCAGAGGACAUGACCCCUAGAGAGGUUUCUUUCUAUUUGAUAUAAGAGGACUUUGGUAGAAGCCAAACUUCAGAAAAGAAUCCCAAGCCUACAGGAAGGAGACUAAGAAAGUGAAGACAAAUGUUUUAACUGAGUGAGAACCAGACUCAGGCAAGUGAAGGUAGAAGUAGAGAGGAGACAAACCACUGGACAAAUCACACAAGUGUGCAGAGACAGAAAAAGUUAAUGGAGGAAUGAAACAUUUGAGGAGCAGAGAUCUAAUACAAGUUGGUUUCAUUCAACUUUUGAGUAUGCAGUAAAAUAAAGAAAGUUUGACCUCUGAGAUCAUAGCCUUUAUACUUGGAAAUAUAGUGCUCCUUUGGUUGUAGUCUGACAACAGUAUGUGCAUAAAAGCAGUUUUUCGUUUUCAGAAGAUGAACAUCUAACAGUGUGGGACUGGAAGUUCAGGAAAAUCCACCAACCCCUGCACCCUGUAGCCUCAGGCUUAGCAAGACUGUACUCCAAAAAAAUCCUCCUUUUCCACCUCCUUUCCAGAACAGUGUAAAGCUACAAAAUACUCUGAGAGGAAAAAUUAAAACUCUCCAUACAAAAGACAGUAAAAGUCUACAAAACUCAUUAUGCUGCACACAGAGACUACAGGCAUUGGCAAGACAGGAUACAUAAAAUGCCUACAUGGUUCCUUUGAGAAAUACACUUCACAUUACAAAGAAAACAAACCUUUCUCAUUCAUAUAGAGGUCUCCAACAAUAAGGCAUUAGGAAAACGUGUCUUGACUUCAAAAGGGGUGUCCAGGCUAUCCUUGAGUUUUAGUGAGAAGUAUCUGAGCAGUGUUUGUCAGUGCAAUGAGGACCAUCAGCAUUUCCCAAGACAUGAUUAAGCUCUGAAACUUCAGACAAAAGCCCUGUCCCCAAACAACCUGCCUUGAAAAGUCAAAGUAAUUCUGGCCUUUUCAGGUGACUAAUGGAUGACAUGAAACAUGGGAUUAAUUAAAUACACCAUAAAUUCAGAACAACAGAUACAAACAAUAAACUGUGAUCUUGUCUGCUUUCAACUUCCUCUUGGCAAUACCAACAAAUCAAAUAUCCAAAGGUUAAUAUCACAUACUUUAUUUUCAAGACAACAGCAUGGAAAAUGGGCAGUCACAGGAAAAGUAAACUUGAUAUGAUUAAAGAAAUGUUAUGACCUUUGUGAGAUUUUGAGGACUGCUGAGCAGCCUGCAAGUUAAUGUGACAGAUGAGAGAGAUUGGUGUUUGUUUACAGCAUGUCUAAAGGCAAUAAAAGAACCUACAGAGGAAGAAAGUAACAAAGAACAAUUCUCCGCAGCUGAGUGCCCCUUCCCUGAGUCUGCUUCCCUGUUUUCAAGGGAGAGAAAAUGCAAUGCAUCCAUGCUCUGAGCCCCUGAGUCAUGUAUUUAUAAUUUAUUAAGAGGUCAAAAGUGGCAUUUGCAAGGUCUCGGUGUUCAAAACUUCUUGAAUUGCUCUAAGAAUUGAGACUCUGUUUAAAUUCAAUAACUAGAGCUUAUUGAACGCAUCCAUUAUGACAGGAAGUUCACCUGCAGCAAAACUACAAAUUCCUACCCCGUCUGUGCUGCACGUUGUUCAAGACCCAGGAACAGAUUCUUUGCAAGGAGCUUCAGCAUUACACAUUUCAGGUCAGUCAUACCAGGAGACAUAAACUCAGAGAAUGCACUUAAAUGCACUUUGACCCAGUUUUCUCUUUUUCUCUCUUUCCUUAUAUCCACGUACAGUAUUCUAAACAGGCUUUGCCAAAAUAUGAAGUACUUUGCAUGCCUUUUGUGUUUGACUGGUCUUCUUAGAUUAAAAUAAAAGCUUAA
Long non-coding RNA from Poecile atricapillus (Black-capped chickadee), 2733 nucleotides. RefSeq lists it as uncharacterized. The transcript is spliced from 3 exons. Lineage: Eukaryota; Metazoa; Chordata; Aves; Passeriformes; Paridae. The record is from RefSeq and is a predicted model, not a curated record.